Balaenoptera ricei (Rice's whale) is the source of this 1041-nucleotide long non-coding RNA. RefSeq lists it as uncharacterized. NCBI's taxonomy places the organism in Eukaryota, Metazoa, Chordata, Mammalia, Artiodactyla, Balaenopteridae. The transcript is spliced from 3 exons. The record is from RefSeq and is a predicted model, not a curated record.
GUUUGCACAGCUGUUGCCCAGAGAACUGAACAAAGCGCUGAAACUUUAACUUGAAUUUGAAAAAAAAAAAGUCAACUGACAAAAAAAGCACAGAUAUCAGGGAAGUCAACAAAGAGGCAAAAAACUUUGUGAGGUCAGGAAGAAUUUUCUAAAAGGUAAAUUUCCUGGGAGCUUGAAGGAAACUGGAAACUGGAGUCUGAUAAAGGCACGGGGGCUGAGCUCUGGAAGCUCCCAUCCCCGCACAGCCACCAGAGUGAAGAUCACAACAGCAGGGAGAAAUCCAUUGCCCAGGAUGGUGGAGCAGAAAAGGCCACAAUUUCUUCAGAGCUCGGAAGCUGGAGCCAAGUGAGGGAUAACUUCAAGAAAGAGCCUGCCUCAUAUCGUUUCUUCUAACUUCUGGAGUCUGCCUUAGAAUGAGUCUCUGUCAUGGGGAGAGGGAGGAUCCGGGAAAGACAGAAGAAGGCGCUUAAAAGAAGACCAAUUUUCCAAAUGGAAAAGAGGGAGGACAGUCCCCAAAGAAACCAUGCAUGCAAAUGGACAGAGGAGGAAAGACCACAGCGUGUUCAGGAAGAUUUCACCAUUGAGGGGCUGGGGAUAAGGUGGAAAAGUAGCUUGGAACUGUGAAAAACUAUAAAGAAGACACUGAAGAGCUUUUUAACAGAAUGCAGCAGCUUCAGCGAUAAACCUCAAGCAAGAGAUAGGAAAAUCUGACCAACCCAAGAGAAAAAGACCCACAGAGGCAGAUAGCUGGAGAUUCCCCAUUGAAAGACCCAGGUUCCAUCCUAAUCAUCCAACAAUGAAGCCAGCAGUUGACAAGCCUCUCCAGUGCACGCAGAACUUACAAUCAGCUUUUUAGUGCCUUACAGUUAAACAUAAAAACACCAUCAAGGAUCAUUGGGCAUGAUGAAGGCUUUUAAUAUGAAAGUAGAAGGCAAAACAGGAAAAAGGAAAAGUGAUGACCUACAACACAAGAGGCAAAAGAAAAUGUCAUACACCAAACUCUAGUGUCCCCAGGUAGAGAGGAGAAACUAUUACACCCAU